RNAcentral lists this unclassified non-coding RNA (380 nucleotides) under uncultured Rickettsiales bacterium. RNAcentral's name for it is "contains 16S-23S intergenic spacer region". Lineage: Bacteria; Pseudomonadati; Pseudomonadota; Alphaproteobacteria; Rickettsiales. The record is from RNAcentral.
UCCGGCUUAUCACCGGCAGUUUCUUCAGAGUGCUCAGCUUGACCUGUUAGCAACAGAAGACGAGGGUUGCGCUCGUUGCGGGACUUAACCCAACAUCUCACGACACGAGCUGACGACAGCCAUGCAGCACCUGUGCAUAUCCCACCCGAAGUGAAGGACUCUCUUUCAAGAAUCCAUAGAGAGCAUGUCAAACCCUGGUAAGGUUCUUCGCGUUGCCUCGAAUUAAACCACAUGUUCCACCGCUUGUGCGGGUCCCCGUCAAUUUCUUUGAGUUUUAAUCUUGCGACCGUACUCCCCAGGCGGGGUGCUUAACGCGUUAGCUGCGCCACAGAGAGGUAACCCCCCUACGGCUAGCACCCAUCGUUUACGGCGUGGACUAC